Molecule: ribosomal RNA, 674 nt
Filed under: Mystus singaringan
Lineage: Eukaryota; Metazoa; Chordata; Actinopteri; Siluriformes; Bagridae
Description: partial 12S ribosomal RNA
Rfam family: Bacterial small subunit ribosomal RNA
Source: RNAcentral
CCACCGCGGUUAUACGAAAGACCCUAGUUGAUAAAUAUGGCGUAAAGGGUGGUUAAGGGUAAAUAUUAAAUAAAGCUAAAGGCCCUCUAAGCCGUUAUACGCAUUCCGAGAGUACGAAAUCCAAAUACGAAAGUGGCUUUAAACAAAUUAACCUGACCCCACGAAAGCUAAGAAACAAACUGGGAUUAGAUACCCCACUAUGCCUAGCCCUAAAUCUAGAUGUAACAGUACAUAUACAUCCGCCCGGGUACUACGAGCACAGCUUAAAACCCAAAGGACUUGGCGGUGUCUCAGACCCACCUAGAGGAGCCUGUUCUAGAACCGAUACCCCCCGUUGAACCUCACCACUUCUUGUUCUUCCCGCCUAUAUACCGCCGUCGUCAGCUUACCCUGUGAAGGUUUAAUAGUAAGCAAAAUGGGCCCACCCAAAAACGUCAGGCCGAGGUGUAGCGUAUGAAGUGGAAAGAAAUGGGCUACAUUUUCUACAAUUAGAAUAUUACGAAUGAUGCAUUGAAAUUAUGCACCUGAAGGUGGAUUUAGUAGUAAAAAGCAAACAGAGUGUCCCUUUGAAUUAGGCUCUGAGACGCGCACACACCGCCCGUCACUCUCCCCACAAAAAUCAAAACAAUAUAUAAUAAAUUAACCACAAAUACGGGGAGGCAAGUCGUAACAUG